RNAcentral lists this long non-coding RNA (1121 nucleotides) under Pan troglodytes (chimpanzee). RNAcentral describes it as "long non-coding RNA NONPTRT013517". Lineage: Eukaryota; Metazoa; Chordata; Mammalia; Primates; Hominidae. The record is from RNAcentral.
AGCCAUGAAAAAAGUAGUUCAUAAAGUUUUACUAGUAGAACAAGGACCUGAAUGAAGGUGGUGGCAGUAAGAAACUUGGAAAAAAAAUGAUACAUAACAAAGACUAAAACUGCUCUCCAACAGUAUAUUGUCCACUAUAAAUCAGAUACUAUAGAAAUAAGAAAUAUAAAAAAAAAACUUAGCCACUAGCAUGCUUCCCAAUCACAUGGAAAUUCUAGAUCUACCUAAUUUAAUCUAUAGUUUCAGGAAAUGGAUUAAUAGAUCUUGAUAUGAGACAGCUGCUGACCCCUGUGAAAAUUAAAAACAUUUUAAAAGCCCUCUUCCUUUUUUGUUAUCUCUGAAAUAACCAGUUUUCUAGGAAAAAGGAAAAGAGUACCAUAUUUUUCAUAAUCUCUGUAAUGCAAGUGCCAAGCACAUGUGAUUUAUACCUGUUUUAUGACAUAUGGAUUCUGCCAAUCAUCUUUAGUUUAUCAAAACUAUUUUUAUGAAGGGGUGCAGAGUAUCAUUUUCCUGAAUUAUUAUUAGACUAGGCCACGUGUGUAAAUAAAUCUCUUGUUUCCAAAUCUCUUAUGUAAGUGCACUAUUAUAAGGACAUAUGCCCACAGAGUAAGCACACAAUAAGCGUUUCUUGAUUAGAUGACUUGGAACGUCAAUCAAUAACCAUAAUUUAUAUGGUAAUUAAUUCAGACCAAUGGAGAGAAGGAUUAUGAAACCAAAACACAGGAAAUAAUUGAGAAUCUUCUUCUUAGAGAUUAAAUUUGAUUCCAAUGGCUUGUUUAAAUUCAUGGUUUUGUGGUUCCAAGAUGUCAUAGAAAACUUGUUUUUUGUCAAAAUGGUCUCUAAUGUAAAGUAAAUCUUCAACGGAAUAGUUAUCAUUUUUUCCAGUCCAAAUAGUCAGGCUGUACCUGCAUUGAAUUUCUCAGGAUGCCAUCCUGUUGUCCAACCCAGGGAAAACGUCACGUCUGGAAAGAAGGAUGUCACGGUGUCUAAAAAUGGUUUUGCAUCUAUUACUUUGCUAUUUCCAUUUGGACCAGGAAGAAUAUCGGCAUUAAUCCAUACAGGACGCUUCAGAUGCCUCUUCACAUUUUCCAAGAGCAUCAUGGAUGGUUCUACAGCUGCCA